Molecule: small RNA, 28 nt
Filed under: Bombyx mori (domestic silkworm)
Lineage: Eukaryota; Metazoa; Arthropoda; Insecta; Lepidoptera; Bombycidae
Description: ovarian small RNA-23218
Source: RNAcentral
UAGUUUCUAGCGUUGGAUGCACAUGAAA